UACGUCGGGUGCAAGCGUUGUCCGGAAUUAUUGGGCGUAAAGAGCUCGUAGGCGGUCUGUCACGUCGGCUGUGAAAUCCCGAGGCUCAACCUCGGGUCUGCAGUCGAUACGGGCAAACUAGAGUAUUGCAGGGGAGACUGGAAUUCCUGGUGUAGCGGUGAAAUGCGCAGAUAUCAGGAGGAACACCGGUGGCGAAGGCGCCGCUCUGGGCCGAAACUGACGCUGAGGAGCGAAAGCAUGGGUAGCAAACAGG
Molecule: ribosomal RNA, 253 nt
Filed under: uncultured bacterium
Lineage: Bacteria
Description: partial 16S ribosomal RNA
Rfam family: Bacterial small subunit ribosomal RNA
Source: RNAcentral